CCGGUGGUAGCGGCUGCAGAUGCCACUAGAUGCCACUAGCUACCACAGAUGCCUCGGAAAGUAGUGGCAUCUGCAGCUGCCACCGGAAGUACCUGCCACUGCUUCCAAAUGCCACAAAAUGCGCUUGCUCUCUCUGCAAGUCAAAGCACUGCACUCGAUUGCUUUAUCCAAAAUGUCCUCAACUUUGAACAACCUUCAAAUUAUUGUGCAGAAUAUAUCUGAAAACCGUUCAUGGGGUAAAUGUUACGCCGUCAAGCUCACGGACAGGAAGUGUGGAGACAAUUCUGACAUGCGGGUAUCUCCAUGGGUAUCACGGAGGGAGUCACCGAGGAAGGCCAAGCGGGACGAUCCAGAUGAGAAGUAUCGUGGAGAUGCAAAGGAAUAACUAUUGUGGUUUCCUGCUUGUUCGCCCCCUGCAACAUAUCUGUCACCACCCGAAAGAAGACAAUGGGCCAACCGUGAUUUCAGACGACCUGAUUCCAAGAGACACAGGUGUGACUGCAGCCAUUACAGCCAUUGUGACCAAAGCAGAUACAGACCAAGGAGAUGCAAACCAAAGAUAUACAGGCCAAGUGGAACAUCAUUGGAGCACCUUUCUGUGGCCAUGCAGUCCACCAAGUGGUACCAGGUUGUUGGGAGCAUGCAGGGCAGCCUCGGCAAAGCCCGGGGGAGGCACCAGAAGACGUCUUGGAUGUGCCAGAGAUGCGAGGUUCCGCUGUGUCUGAUGCCAUACAGGAAUUGCUACACCGAAUGGCAUGGGCUCAGAGGAAAGGCAGGAAACUUAUGUUAAGUCUAUGUUAACUUCUAAGUUAUUUUCUUACUUUCACAUUUCCAAGUGAGUUGCUGACAUUUAAUGCAGAAUAUGGAUAUGAUGUUUACGAGACACCUUUUUUCUUUGCUUACUCCAAGUGGUUCUUCAAAGUUCUCUUGUUUUUUUUUAAGAAAAAUAUCUUCAAAAGUUGCUGUGGAGAAAAGCCUUUUGUUGGGGGUGGUCUCCUCGUCUGCAUUCUGUUACCAUGCGUAUUCCCAAUGUGUUUAUAUAUUUUAGGGAGAAAAAUAUUUAUUGCUUUAUUUGUUUCUAAUUAAAUUGCAAUUAAGUCA
Eleginops maclovinus (Patagonian blennie) is the source of this 1101-nucleotide long non-coding RNA. RefSeq lists it as uncharacterized. NCBI's taxonomy places the organism in Eukaryota, Metazoa, Chordata, Actinopteri, Perciformes, Eleginopidae. The transcript has 2 exons. The record is from RefSeq and is a predicted model, not a curated record.